RNAcentral lists this transfer RNA (84 nucleotides) under Pseudodesulfovibrio mercurii. RNAcentral's name for it is "tRNA-Glu (TTC) (tRNA-Glu-TTC-2-1)". Lineage: Bacteria; Pseudomonadati; Thermodesulfobacteriota; Desulfovibrionia; Desulfovibrionales; Desulfovibrionaceae. The record is from RNAcentral.
AUAACAUAGGUAAGCGACCUUCCGGUUGAUUGUUUACGGCCUUUCACGCCGUUAACAGGGGUUCAAAUCCCCUUGGGGACGCCA